GACGAACGCUGGCGGCGUGCCUAAUACAUGCAAGUUGAGCGAUGAAGAUUGGUGCUUGCCCCAAUUUGAAGAGCAGCGAACGGGUGAGUAACGCGUGGGGAAUCUGCCUUUGAGCGGGGGACAACAUUUGGAAACGAAUGCUAAUACCGCAUAACAACUUUAAACAUAAGUUUUAAGUUUGAAAGAUGCAAUUGCAUCACUCAAAGAUGAUCCCGCGUUGUAUUAGCUAGUUGGUGAGGUAAAGGCUCACCAAGGCGAUGAUACAUAGCCGACCUGAGAGGGUGAUAGGCCACAUUGGGACUGAGACACGGCCCAAACUCCUACGGGAGGCAGCAGUAGGGAAUCUUCGGCAAUGGACGAAAGUCUGACCGAGCAACGCCGCGUGAGUGAAGAAGGUUUUCGGAUCGUAAAAAUCUGUUGGUAGAGAAGAACGUUGGUGAGAGUGGAAAGCUCAUCAAGUGACGGUAACUACCCAGAAAGGGACGGCUAACUACGUG
RNAcentral lists this ribosomal RNA (497 nucleotides) under uncultured bacterium. RNAcentral describes it as "partial 16S ribosomal RNA". It matches the Rfam family "Bacterial small subunit ribosomal RNA", at positions 28 to 507 of the family's 1533-position model. The record is from RNAcentral.